GCGUAAGCUGCUGACACGCACGUGGUAGUAGCGAAAUGCCAUACUAAAACGCUGCUGCCACGCACGGAAGUGACGUCAGAGUUAUGAUGACGUUGUUUAAACAAGUAUGACGUGUUCCGGUUUAUAGUUUUGCGCGCGCUGCUGGAGCUGCUUCAGCUUUUCAGCUUAGCUAAGACACAAUUUUACGGUUUCUUACUGUAUUGUGUGCUAGAAUGUUGUUCUAGUUGCGCUGGAAGAAUCGGAUGGUGUUCGAACUUGCGAUCACGAGCGACACUUGGACGCAACGCUGGAGCAGCUCGUUUCCUUAUGCCUUGCAGCGCGUUUAUGCCAGAGUGCGGGAAGCCUCGAGCUCGCUUCUUCCCGGCGCCGCCCCGGCUUCGAGGGCCGCCGGGGACCUUCUCCAUCGGCGUUGCCGCCGCUGGGAGACGACUCUCAAAAGUUCAGAGUUGGCAGACCGCAGCUCUGGGCCAUCCGGCAAGCCGAAGGUGCCGCUCGAGUUCAAGGACUUCGAGCCGCCACCUGACAAAAACUGCCGGACCAUUCUCUAUUAAAGUUUCUUCUUCAUCCUUCGUAGGAUUGCUGUUGCAUAUAUUGCCCGACACCAAACCGAAGAAGUUGUCGAUCACUUUGGACUUUUCUCAAACAGGGUGUUGUCCGGUGAUUGAAUUUCUCUUCACACAAGGACAGAUUGUGAAGGAGAUUUUGUAAACUAUCAGCAGCAGUAGAGAACGAGGCACAAAGAAUAAAGGAAAUUGAUGGACCCAA
RNAcentral lists this long non-coding RNA (765 nucleotides) under Dermacentor andersoni. Its description in RNAcentral is "uncharacterized LOC126545945". Lineage: Eukaryota; Metazoa; Arthropoda; Arachnida; Ixodida; Ixodidae. The record is from RNAcentral.